RNAcentral lists this ribosomal RNA (253 nucleotides) under uncultured bacterium. RNAcentral's name for it is "partial 16S ribosomal RNA". It matches the Rfam family "Bacterial small subunit ribosomal RNA", at positions 524 to 776 of the family's 1533-position model. The record is from RNAcentral.
UACGUAGGGGGCAAGCGUUAUCCGGAUUUACUGGGUGUAAAGGGAGCGUAGACGGCGAUGCAAGUCUGAAGUGAAAGGCGGGGGCCCAACCCCCGGACUGCUUUGGAAACUGUAUGGCUGGAGUGCAGGAGAGGUAAGUGGAAUUCCUAGUGUAGCGGUGAAAUGCGUAGAUAUUAGGAGGAACACCAGUGGCGAAGGCGGCUUACUGGACUGUAGCUGACGUUGAGGCUCGAAAGCGUGGGGAGCAAACAGG